This is a small nucleolar RNA of Sardina pilchardus (European sardine), 128 nucleotides long. RefSeq annotates it as small nucleolar RNA SNORA31. The record is from RefSeq and is a predicted model, not a curated record. NCBI's taxonomy places the organism in Eukaryota, Metazoa, Chordata, Actinopteri, Clupeiformes, Clupeidae. The transcript has a single exon.
AAGCAUCUACUGAUAGACCUGAAGCCUCUCCCAGUGGCAUCUGGGUUUGCAAUCUGAUGCAAGAGUGAAGGUUCCUUGCUUUUUCUGUCGGUCCUGUGGCAUGAUGGAUUGAAUAGAGGAAAACAUAA